ACACUGCCAGAUUCAGAAAGAGAAGUGUGAGAAGAUAACUACUGUUGAAACCCAACGCAGAGAUAGAUAAAUAGCUAGUCGAGAGAGAGAGAGAGACCGAGAGUAUCUCCAGGAGCAAAGCUCUUGCCAUUAGCCCAAUUGGCAUACGACAUGGAGAAGCCCCAUCCUUGUGAGUCCCCCACGACAUGGGUGGUUGCGAGGGAGUUUAACGGCGAGCAAGCGAUGAGCAGUAUGGAGAGCAGCAAAGCUGCGUUGCGACUGCCCCUUCCCAUGGCCAUAGUCU
This 283-nucleotide long non-coding RNA is filed under the name Musa acuminata (dwarf banana). RNAcentral describes it as "long non-coding RNA (MACU_LNC000116)". Lineage: Eukaryota; Viridiplantae; Streptophyta; Magnoliopsida; Zingiberales; Musaceae. The record is from RNAcentral.